This 165-nucleotide ribosomal RNA is filed under the name uncultured bacterium. Its description in RNAcentral is "partial 16S rRNA". It matches the Rfam family "Bacterial small subunit ribosomal RNA", at positions 355 to 511 of the family's 1533-position model. The record is from RNAcentral.
UAGGGAAUCUUCGGCAAUGGGGGCGAACCCUGACCGAGCAACGCCGCGUGAGUGAAGAAGGGUUUCGGCUCGUAAAGCUCUGUUGUUAAAGAAGAACACGUAUGAGAGUAACUGUUCAUACGUUGACGGUAUUUAACCAGAAAGUCACGGCUAACUACGUGCCAG